GACGAACGCUGGCGGCGUGCUUAACACAUGCAAGUCGAACGGAAAGGCCCUGCUUUUGUGGGGUGCUCGAGUGGCGAACGGGUGAGUAACACGUGAGUAACCUGCCCUUGCCUUUGGGAUAACUUCAGGACACUGGGGCUAAUACCGGAUAGGAGCUCCUGCUGCAUGGUGGGGGUUGGAAAGUUUCGGCGGUUGGGGCUGGACUCGCGGCUUAUCAGCUUGUUGGGGGGGUAGUGGCUUACCAAGGCUUUGACGGGUAGCCGGCCUGAGAGGGUGACCGGCCACAUUGGGACUGAGAUACGGCCCAGACUCCUACGGGAGGCAGCAGUGGGGAAUAUUGCACUAUGGGCGGAAGCCUGAUGCAGCAACGCCGCGUGCGGGAUGACGGCCUUCGGGUUGUAAACCGCUUUCGCCUGUGACGAAGCGUGAGUGACGGUAAUGGGUAAAGAAGCACCGGCUAACUACGUG
RNAcentral lists this ribosomal RNA (468 nucleotides) under uncultured bacterium. Its description in RNAcentral is "partial 16S ribosomal RNA". It matches the Rfam family "Bacterial small subunit ribosomal RNA", at positions 28 to 507 of the family's 1533-position model. The record is from RNAcentral.